Molecule: unclassified non-coding RNA, 178 nt
Filed under: rhizosphere metagenome
Description: partial ribosomal RNA internal transcribed spacer region
Source: RNAcentral
AAUGAAGCCGGGAAACCGGUCCUUCUAACCCUUGAUUAUAAUAAUUUGUUGCUUUGGUGGGCCGCGCAAGCACCGGCUUCGGCUGGAUCGUGCCCGCCAGAGGACCACAACUCUGUAUCAAAUGUCGUCUGAUUACUAUUUAAUAGUUAAAACUUUCAACAACGGAUCUCUUGGUUCU